RNAcentral lists this non-coding RNA (190 nucleotides) under Evansella tamaricis. RNAcentral's name for it is "Bacillus tamaricis 6S RNA". It matches the Rfam family "6S / SsrS RNA". From Rfam's summary of the family: E. coli 6S RNA was the first non coding RNA to be sequenced, but its function was unknown until recently. It consists of 184 nucleotides that fold into an extended hairpin structure with a large single-stranded internal bulge. Lineage: Bacteria; Bacillati; Bacillota; Bacilli; Caryophanales; Bacillaceae. The record is from RNAcentral.
AUAGUCCUGGGGUGCUCGUCACAACUCUACGUUUUGAGCCAACACAUCAACUUUGGGAGUCUCAUGUUUCAGUAUGGAAAGCAAGCCUUACAUAAUUUACCGUGAGGAAGUUUGAAAUAGUGAACGGGACACCCACCUGCCUGGAGCAGGUUCAAAACAAGGAAGAAUAAACGGCACUCAUGGGACUUUU